ACUGCUUUAAUUUCAAUAAAAUAAAUAUAUGUGAAGUGCGUUCUUUGUUCUUUUCGUUGUGUUCUGCUAACUAACUCUUGUAAGCCUGACGAUGGCAACACGAGGUUGUCGAAAAUGUUAGCGUUUGAAUAAGUGUUUGUUAACUGCAAGAGGUGCUUCGUGAUUAAUUGAUGUAGUAAUUAUUUUAUUGAAAUUAAAGCAGUUGUUUAGAAGAAGUAUGGAUCAUACAGAGUUGAGCCAACUCGUUAAGCAAUGCCAGAAAGCCAAUAAAAGGUGCAUAAGAACGCAUGAAACAAUGCUUUUCCUGAAGGAAUGCAAGAUCAACCGGGUCUUUCCUAGAACUAUUGAUGCUAUCAAGUUACCUAUACACUCGGCUAAAGUCCUGCGGAAUACUAAGAAGAUAUGCCUCAGUGUAGCUAUUGCUGACGCCAAAAGAAGAUACUUUAAAGCCCGAAACCUAGAAGCGAUAAGCCUGG
Molecule: long non-coding RNA, 476 nt
Filed under: Androctonus crassicauda
Lineage: Eukaryota; Metazoa; Arthropoda; Arachnida; Scorpiones; Buthidae
Source: RNAcentral